UGUUUCUAUCUUUUUUAGGUUCACAGUUCGCUAAAAAAACAGGUGUGAGAAUUAUCCAGUAGCUUUGUUUAACUGUAACAGACAGGAGCGGAUCUGGAACCUUCACCGGUUCUGUUUUUUGUUUUUUGUUUUAAUGGCAAUCAUAGAAAGGAAGGAAACGAAGGGAAAGUUUUCGGUGAGGAAGGAAAUGGAGGGAAAUAACAAGGAGAUUUUUUAUUUCUGCUUUUGAUUGCUGUUUAUACAACAACAACAAGGAGAAGAGAGGGAGGAGGAGGAGGAAUGAUUUUGCGAAAAGAGAAGAACACGAGGGAUGAAGAGAGGUGGGUGGAGGAGGAGGAGGAGGAAUCUGGGGGCGGGUGGUGUAAUGGGACUGCGUAAAGCUCCACCCAAAAUCAAGAUCAUGC
Populus euphratica (Euphrates poplar) is the source of this 404-nucleotide long non-coding RNA. RefSeq lists it as uncharacterized. The transcript is spliced from 3 exons. The record is from RefSeq and is a predicted model, not a curated record. Lineage: Eukaryota; Viridiplantae; Streptophyta; Magnoliopsida; Malpighiales; Salicaceae.